Tupaia belangeri (northern tree shrew) is the source of this 68-nucleotide small nucleolar RNA. The record is from Ensembl. NCBI's taxonomy places the organism in Eukaryota, Metazoa, Chordata, Mammalia, Scandentia, Tupaiidae.
UGGGGAACAACAGCAAUCACCUUUUGGAACUGACCUGAAAUGAAGAGCGUGCUCAUUGCUAAUCACUU